CUGAGCCAGAGGAAGGGAGGAAAACAAUAGCAAAAACCAGGACCCUUCGGACUUGCCGCUGAAUGGGGAUUUUCGUCGGAUGUUGAGUUUACCUGGAAUGCCCCGGUGUUAUUUUGGGAAGGCAGACAUCCCACGGAAACAAUGAAGUGGAAAAGAAAACAGCUAAAGCAAAAUCUAGAGCCCAGUUUUUGCCAAACCAGCCCCACGUGGGCUGGGCAGGCUCUGGAAGCCCAAGUCAGGCCGAUGAAGAGCGGCUGAGGCCGUGGGGAUCUGGUUUACCAGGAGGGCACAUGGAGGAUGCAAGAAAAGGAAGAGCCGUAUUCAAGUCCCCACUUCAGUGAUGAGGCAGAAAGACCCUGCGCCUGACCACGUGGGAACAGCCUGCAGUGAGCGGUGACGCCGCCUGGCUUGAGCUAAGUGCUGGGCUCCACCAUUCAUUGGCUGAGUGACCUUAGAUGAGAAGAGAAUGAGCCAUGUGUUUCCUGAAACAUCCAGUGGCCUCACCGGAGAAUCUGCAAGAGCCGGUAAACCCAGAAGCUUGGCCGUCCAUUCCUGGAAGCAGACAUUGUGUCUUCGUCCACCAAGCCCCUGGCUCUCAACACUCACUGUGGUGGCAAGAACAUGGCACCUUGACCCUACACAGUUCUUCCAUUUUUCAGAAGCAGGUGAGCACAGAUUGCUGGGAUGGAGUGAGUAAAAGAUAUAAACUGGACUGGGCACGGUUGCUCGCACCUGUAAUCCCAGCACUUUGGGAGGCCGAAGCGGGCGGAUCGCUUGAGCUCAGGAGUUCGAGAUUAGUCUAGGCAACAUAGUGAGAAGCUAUCUUAAAAAAAAUUUAAAUAAAAGUUAUAAACCAAGGCUUGGGGUUUCUGGGUGCUUUGCCAGGACCUGUUCUUGGGCAGAACUGAAUAUAUACUCAAUUCUGAGGAGGGAAGAGGAAGGUCAUGGCUAAAAGGUAGGCUCUGAAAUCAGACUCCCGGAGCUCAAAUCCCAGCACUCUCUGCUUGCCACUUAGACUUCAGGUAGGGGAGGGGGAUAUAAAUGUUUGAGCCUCAGUCCCCUCCUCUGUAAAAUGGGGGCAGUAAAUGUACUGCACACAGCUGCAAGGUGUGAAUGAGGCGAUGCACGUAAAACACAGUGCCUAUAGUAUCACAUUGGGGUUUUUUGGUGUUUUUUGUUUUUGUUUUUGUUUUUUUGACAGAGGGUCUCACUCUGUCACCCAGGCUGGAGUGCAAUGGAGUGAUCUCAGCUCACUGCAGCCUUGACCUCCUGGGCUCAACCACUUUUCCCACCUCUGCCUUCAAAGUAGCUGGGACUAUAGCCAUGUGCUACCACGCCCAGCUAAUUUUUGCAUUUUUUUGUAGAGAUGGGGUUUCACCAUAUUGCCCAGGCUGGUCUAGAACUCCUGAGCUCGAGUGAUCCACCCGCCUCGACCUCCCAAAGUGCUGGGAUUACAGACGUGUGCCACCAUGCUCAGCCCCACACUCGUCUUUAAGAAAAUUAAAAUAAAAUUGUUUUAAACACAGUGUCUGGCACAGAAUAGAUGCUCAAUAAACACCAGCUGCUACAAUUAGAGGGGAAAUCAUCAUAAUUGUUGGAUUAAAACAUAAUAAAAGACCCCAGUUGCCUUGUUCAAGGCAGUAUUUUCAGAAGCAAAGUUUUAAAAGUUUAAAAAGAGGUCAGUAUUUUAAGUCAUGUCAGCUCCACAGCCACGGAAGUGCUGGAAAGGCACCAAGCCUCCUCUCGGUUUGCAGUGAAACGCUCCUCUUCCGUCUGAGGGCUAUCGUUCCAGCAGAGAUCAACACAAUGGACUCUGGGAUGGACAUUGUUCUCCAACAGGCCUGGCCCUGGCCCAGCUGGGCUCCAGACCCUUGUCCCCAGGUUUUGACCCCACCCAGACCUUUGCCUGGGACGGAAAGCUGCUUCAUUUCAGGAGACACCUGAAGUACC
RNAcentral lists this long non-coding RNA (1950 nucleotides) under Homo sapiens (human). RNAcentral describes it as "non-protein coding LINC01936:26". The record is from RNAcentral. Lineage: Eukaryota; Metazoa; Chordata; Mammalia; Primates; Hominidae.